AUUGAACGCUGCGGAAUGCUUUACACAUGCAAGUCGAACGGUAGAGGGGGCAACCCCUCGAGAGUGGCGAACGGGUGAGUAAUAUAUCGGAACGUGCCCAGUCGUGGGGGAUAACGUAGCGAAAGUUACGCUAAUACCGCAUACGAUCUAAGGAUGAAAGCGGGGGGUCGCAAGACCUCGCGCGAUUGGAGCGGCCGAUAUCAGAUUAGGUAGUUGGUGGGGGAAAGGCUCACCAAGCCAACGAUCUGUAGCUGGUCUGAGAGGACGACCAGCCACACUGGAACUGAGACACGGUCCAGACUCCUACGGGAGGCAGCAGUGGGGAAUUUUGGACAAUGGACGCAAGUCUGAUCCAGCCAUUCCGCGUGCAGGAUGAAGGCCCUCGGGUUGUAAACUGCUUUUGUACGGAACGAAAAGGUCUCUCUUAAUACGGGGGACUCAUGACGGUACCGUAAGAAUAAGCACCGGCUAACUACGUGCCAGCCGCCGCGGUAA
This 495-nucleotide ribosomal RNA is filed under the name uncultured bacterium. Its description in RNAcentral is "partial 16S ribosomal RNA". It matches the Rfam family "Bacterial small subunit ribosomal RNA", at positions 30 to 523 of the family's 1533-position model. The record is from RNAcentral.